This 469-nucleotide unclassified non-coding RNA is filed under the name uncultured Bordetella sp. RNAcentral describes it as "partial 16S-23S ribosomal RNA intergenic spacer". It matches the Rfam family "Bacterial small subunit ribosomal RNA", at positions 340 to 793 of the family's 1533-position model. Lineage: Bacteria; Pseudomonadati; Pseudomonadota; Betaproteobacteria; Burkholderiales; Alcaligenaceae. The record is from RNAcentral.
UACAGGAAGGCAGCAGUGAAAUUUUGGACGUGGAAGCCUGAUCAGCCAUCCGCGUGUGCGAUGAAGGCCUUCGGGUUCUUAAAGCUGCUUUGGCAGGGGAAAGAAAUGGCGCAGGGAUAGCCCUUAACAAACUGACAAAUGCCUGCAGAAUAAGCACCGGCUAACUACGUGCCAGCAGCCGCGGUAAUACGUAGGGUGCAAGCGUUAAUCAGAUUACUAUGGGCGCGUAAAACAUUGCGCAGGCGGUUCGGAAAGAGAGAUGUGAAAAUCCCAGAGCUUAACUUUGGAACUGCAUUUUUAACUACCGAGCUAGAGUGUGUGGAGAGGGAGGUGGAGAUUCCUAAGCGAUGUAGCAGUGAAAUGCGUAGAUAUGCGGAGGAACACCGAUGGCGAAGGCAACCUCCUGGGAUAGCACUGACGCUCAUGCACGAAAAGCGUGGGAGCAAAACAGGAUUAGAUACCCGUGAUU